AAAAAGCAGAAGAGGGAAGGAGAAAGAGGGAGAGAGGGGGAGAGAGAGAGGGAGGCUGUCAGGACCUGCACCACUGAGAGCUUUGCGUUUAUUCCCUUUAAUGCGAGGGAUAAACAUUGAAAUGUCUCUUUUUUGUGUGUUGGGGUUGAGCCUACAUUUUUCAUUUGCUCUGCUGCUGCGGAGAUAUUCCGGAAUGUGGAUGCUAUGAAUAUCCCUGGCAGAUGUGGAUUACAGAUCGCUAAUCACUAGCAUGACCCGGAUGGUUUGGACUGAAGAAGAGGAUCCUGGCGCUGACAUUAUACAUUUAACUGUACUCUGGGAAUUGACCCCAAGGAUCCACCCAUUUCUCUUUGCUGAAAACGGAUCUGACUCUGACAUAUUUGCAGCUUUUUCGCCCUGAUGUCUUAAUAGCGAGUCCGCAAAUACCGAGAUCAACCGUGCGCUCUCUGAGGGCUUCCUCGGUACUGAUCCAAUCCCGAAUGGACAUUGCGCUCUUUACCAGCCAUCGCUCUUGGUUCAGGCUUUUCACAGAAACGAUCAAUACGGAUACGAUGUCAGUUUAAACAUUUAAAGGGCAGUUAAAAGCCUUUUUUAGUUCCCUUUUCCGAGUAGAGUAACUAUAGCCUGGCCAUAUGGGCUGCCCAAACUCUCCGGGGAGAUUGGGCAGGUGCGAUUGAGUUAUUUUUCCUCAUCACAAAAGAAAGAUGACACGUCUUGACCUUUCCUAUCAUAUCAUCGGGUCAAAGCAAGACUCCCAAUGAGAAAGGCCUGUGUGUGUGUGUCACAGUGGAGAAUUGUUUUAGCUGUUUAUGUCUAGAGCUGCAGGUUCCAAUAGAAAAAAAACGUUCAUAGAAGCAGCAACAGAGACAUCUGCUUUAUGGAACGUUGUGCUGAGGAUCCAAUGCACCUGAACACACACACACACAAAGAAUAUAUCCAAUCUAUGACUUAAAGGGAAUAUGUUUGACUGGAGACGCUUCUACUAUAAAAUCAAAGAGCCUUGCUCGGAAGAGGAGCUAUUAAACAGGAGGAGGGGGUCGUGUCUUCCUGCGCGACCCCUUGCCAUUUUGCUUUGACCUAAGUCUCUGACUCUCCGUGUUCACAGCGGACCUUGAUUUAAUGUCAUACAAUUAAGGCACGCGGUGAAUGCCAAGAGUGGAGGCUCAAUGCAGCCCCUGAAGACUUCUCUUGUCUGCGCGACAACAGAACACAACACGCGUCAGCGACAAAUUAACUCGAGUGCCGCAGUUUUAAGUGAUGGAAAUGCAACACCAGUGGCGCAUUGUAUGUAAUUAGGAUGUGGGGGUUUGGGAGAAAGGUAACCAGCUGUCAGGGGCCUUCUGUCAACUGCCCUAACCCCUCUACCAUAAAAUUUUAUAUAUGUACUGGUAAUUUAUACAAAAUGUGUGAAUCAUGUAUAUAUUGUAUUGUUAAAGAAAUGACUGUAAAAACAAACUGUUCCCUUGUUAAGAAGGAAAUAAAACUCAUUAAGGAC
This is a long non-coding RNA of Xenopus laevis (African clawed frog), 1495 nucleotides long. RefSeq lists it as uncharacterized. The transcript is spliced from 2 exons. The record is from RefSeq and is a predicted model, not a curated record. Lineage: Eukaryota; Metazoa; Chordata; Amphibia; Anura; Pipidae.